This 1460-nucleotide ribosomal RNA is filed under the name uncultured organism. RNAcentral describes it as "SSU rRNA". It matches the Rfam family "Bacterial small subunit ribosomal RNA". The record is from RNAcentral.
CUCAGAUUGAACGCUGGCGGCAGGCCUAACACAUGCAAGUCGAACGGUAACAGGAAGCAGCUUGCUGCUUUGCUGACGAGUGGCGGACGGGUGAGUAAUGUCUGGGAAACUGCCUGAUGGAGGGGGAUAACUACUGGAAACGGUAGCUAAUACCGCAUAACGUCGCAAGACCAAAGAGGGGGACCUUAGGGCCUCUUGCCAUCGGAUGUGCCCAGAUGGGAUUAGCUAGUAGGUGGGGUAACGGCUCACCUAGGCGACGAUCCCUAGCUGGUCUGAGAGGAUGACCAGCCACACUGGAACUGAGACACGGUCCAGACUCCUACGGGAGGCAGCAGUGGGGAAUAUUGCACAAUGGGCGCAAGCCUGAUGCAGCCAUGCCGCGUGUAUGAAGAAGGCCUUCGGGUUGUAAAGUACUUUCAGCGGGGAGGAAGGGAGUAAAGUUAAUACCUUUGCUCAUUGACGUUACCCGCAGAAGAAGCACCGGCUAACUCCGUGCCAGCAGCCGCGGUGAUACGGAGGGUGCAAGCGUUAAUCGGAAUUACUGGGCGUAAAGCGCACGCAGGCGGUCUGUUAAGUCAGAUGUGAAAUCCCCGGGCUCAACCUGGGAACUGCAUCUGAUACUGGCAAGCUUGAGUCUCGUAGAGGGGGGUAGAAUUCCAGGUGUAGCGGUGAAAUGCGUACAGAUCUGGAGGAAUACCGGUGGCGAACGCGGCCCCCUGGACGAAGACUGACGCUCAGGUGCGAAAGCGUGGGGAGCAAACAGGAUUAGAUACCCUGGUAGUCCACGCCGUAAACGAUGUCGACUUGGAGGUUGUGCCCUUGAGGCGUGGCUUCCGGAGCUAACGCGUUAAGUCGACCGCCUGGGGAGUACGGCCGCAAGGUUAAAACUCAAAUGAAUUGACGGGGGCCCGCACAAGCGGUGGAGCAUGUGGUUUAAUUCGAUGCAACGCGAAGAACCUUACCUGGUCUUGACAUCCACAGAACUUUCCAGAGAUGGAUUGGUGCCUUCGGGAACUGUGAGACAGGUGCUGCAUGGCUGUCGUCAGCUCGUGUUGUGAAAUGUUGGGUUAAGUCCCGCAACGAGCGCAACCCUUAUCCUUUGUUGCCAGCGGUCCGGCCGGGAACUCAAAGGAGACUGCCAGUGAUAAACUGGAGGAAGGUGGGGAUGACGUCAAGUCAUCAUGGCCCUUACGACCAGGGCUACACACGUGCUACAAUGGCGCAUACAAAGAGAAGCGACCUCGCGAGAGCAAGCGGACCUCAUAAAGUGCGUCGUAGUCCGGAUUGGAGUCUGCAACUCGACUCCAUGAAGUCGGAAUCGCUAGUAAUCGUGGAUCAGAAUGCCACGGUGAAUACGUUCCCGGGCCUUGUACACACCGCCCGUCACACCAUGGGAGUGGGUUGCAAAAGAAGUAGGUAGCUUAACCUUCGGGAGGGCGCUUACCACUUUGUGAUUCAUG